AACAAAGCAAAGAUUGGAAAGAGUAAAUAACAUUAAACUUUAAGAGAGUCAGUGGAUGGUGUGAACUGAUAGAGCGUGUUAUUGAAAAUCGGCCAUAGCUAUUUAUGCGAAAGCUCUAGUGAGUAGUUUAAAUCGGUAUAAUACCGUUAUCAUUAUUGAGUGACAUGAUCUCAUUGUUUUUGUGAUCUGUAAUUUGGGUGGUACCACGGCUUAGUCGUCCCAUAG
This 225-nucleotide non-coding RNA is filed under the name Fusibacter sp. Its description in RNAcentral is "T-box sequence". It matches the Rfam family "T-box leader". From Rfam's summary of the family: Uncharged tRNA acts as the effector for transcription antitermination of genes in the T-box leader family. T-boxes are found upstream of many aminoacyl-tRNA synthetase genes and some amino acid biosynthetic genes usually in Gram-positive bacteria. The record is from RNAcentral. Lineage: Bacteria; Bacillati; Bacillota; Clostridia; Eubacteriales; Fusibacteraceae.